This 200-nucleotide unclassified non-coding RNA is filed under the name soil metagenome. RNAcentral's name for it is "partial contains internal transcribed spacer 2 and large subunit ribosomal RNA". The record is from RNAcentral.
CUGUUCGAGCGUCAUUAUAACCACUCAAGUUUCGACUUGGUAUUGGGGUUCGCGGUUUCGCGGUCCUUAAAAUCAGUGGCGAUGUCAUCUGGCUCUAAGCGUAGUAAUUCUCUCGCUACAGGGUCCGGGUGGUUCCUUGCCAAAAUCUCCCACUUUUAUAGGUUGACCUCGGAUCAGGUAGGGAUACCCGCUGAACUUAA